GCGCAGCAGGCGCGAAAACUUUACAAUGCGGGAAACCGUGAUAAGGGGACACCGAGUGCCAGCGUCAUACGCUGGCUGUCCAGGUGUGUAAAAUACACCUGUUAGCAAGGGCCGGGCAAGACCGGUGCCAGCCGCCGCGGUAACACCGGCGGCCCGAGUGGUGAUCGUGAUUAUUGGGUCUAAAGGGUCCGUAGCCGGUUUGGUCAGUCCUCCGGGAAAUCUGAUAGCUCAACUGUUAGGCUUUCGGGGGAUACUGCCAGACUUGGAACCGGGAGAGGUAAGAGGUACUACAGGGGUAGGAGUGAAAUCUUGUAAUCCCUGUGGGACCACCUGUGGCGAAGGCGUCUUACCAGAACGGGUUCGACGGUGAGGGACGAAAGCUGGGGGCACGAACCGGAUUAGAUACCCGGGUAGUCCCAGCCGUAAACGAUGCUCGCUAGGUGUCAGGCAUGGCGCGACCGUGUCUGGUGCCGCAGGGAAGCCGUGAAGCGAGCCACCUGGGAAGUACGGCCGCAAGGCUGAAACUUAAAGGAAUUGGCGGGGGAGCACAACAACGGGUGGAGCCUGCGGUUUAAUUGGAUUCAACGCCGGA
RNAcentral lists this ribosomal RNA (592 nucleotides) under uncultured Methanosarcinales archaeon. RNAcentral describes it as "bacterial SSU rRNA". It matches the Rfam family "Archaeal small subunit ribosomal RNA", at positions 330 to 922 of the family's 1478-position model. The record is from RNAcentral. Lineage: Archaea; Methanobacteriati; Methanobacteriota; Methanomicrobia; Methanosarcinales.